Molecule: ribosomal RNA, 408 nt
Filed under: bacterium enrichment culture clone ALO1_GLFRUDD03F8KN4
Lineage: Bacteria
Description: bacterial SSU rRNA
Rfam family: Bacterial small subunit ribosomal RNA
Source: RNAcentral
GAGUUUGAUCUUGGCUCAGAUUGAACGCUGGCGGCAUGCCUUACGCAUGCAAGUCGAACGGCAGCACGGGAGCUUGCUCCUGGUGGCGAGUGGCGAACGGGUGAGUAAUGCAUCGGAACGUAUCCUGGAGUGGGGGAUAACGUAGCGAAAGUUACGCUAAUACCGCAUAUUCUGUGAGCAGGAAAGCGGGGGACCUUCGGGCCUCGCGCUCUUGGAGCGGCCGAUGUCGGAUUAGCUAGUUGGUGAGGUAAAGGCUCACCAAGGCGACGAUCCGUAGCAGGUCUGAGAGGAUGAUCUGCCACACUGGAACUGAGACACGGUCCAGACUCCUACGGGAGGCAGCAGUGGGAAUUUUGGACAAUGGGGGCAACCCUGAUCCAGCCAUGCCGCGUGAGUGAAGAAGGCCUU